UCCCAACACCAUGCAAACACUUAUCUGUCCCCCGAUCACUUCCGAAUUAAGAGAUUUUCAUAAAAUUAGUUAGGUUAUCUCGUAUCGCAUCAUUUAGCCCUCCAGUUUUAACCAUUUAAAAAUGGUGGCAUAAUUCAUACGUCUGAGAUGUAAUUUUGAACUAUUUCGGAUUUUUAUAGAAUUUAGCCGGGUAGUCAAAUAGUCCUGUUGACUUCGAUGAUAUAUACGCGUCGUUAAAAAAAUAUGGCGUUUUUUUUCCUCUCCGAUAUCUUACCGACUGCUUGAUCGAAUGUUACCAAACUUAGCGGGGUGGUGGACAUAUUGAAAUCGAAUUUUGAAAUAAUACGAAUUAACUGAGUCGAUUCGUUUGUUUAAAAAUGGCGGACGUUCGAUCUCUCGCAGUUUCCCUGUAAUAACUGUGGAAUUAUUCGAAGGAUUUUAGUCAUAAGUAAAUACCAUUGAAGAGAUUCUGAUGAUAUUUUAAUCCCUUACGUUUAAUCGUUCAAAAGUAAAAGAUGGCUCUAAAAAAUAAGACUAGUUUUUACCAGAAACUCUUUUUUUUUUCCGUUGAAAAUCGGAAUAUUUUAAAGAGCUAGCCACUCGAAAUGGUCGAAAUUAAGCUAUUUUUAUUUAAGAACUGUUCGAAAUGAUUAUUUUACUAAAAAUUGUUUUCGGUUUUUUAUAAAGUACGGUGCCAUCUUGCCAUAUACGUGAUCGUCCGAAACAUCCAUAGACUAGUUCUCCAUUAAAUAUCAAUCUCUUCCAUUUAGAAUUCUGUUCCGUGCGUGAUCGCGAAUGAAUCUUUCUGAAGUUGACGUCUAGAAAAGAAUGUGGGAAGAUUGGUCGGAAGAUAAAUCAAAAUGCUAAUUUCCUAAUUAUCCAAAACAUGUUCCGGUGCGAUAGUAUUACUGGUAGAGUGGCGAAGUCCAAACAUAUUUUCGAAAGAGUUUUGUCGAAACGUACGUUUAGAAGAAAAAAAGACUUAAAACAGUUAUCGAAAUAUUCAUCUGGGCUGAAAAACGAAGAUAUUUAAACUAUCAGUUAUUUCCACACACGAAAAUUGUAUGAGGAUGCCAUACAUCUUUUAAAUGUACGGAAAAUGGCCAAAUUUUGUAACAAGUUCGGUCGGUAGAAGAAAUAUCUGUUCAAAUAUGCAUUUCUCACCAUUUCUUUAAGCGAUUUUAGUAGAACAAAGCUGGAAAAUGAUUUCCAUGUUAUAAAAACUUCAUUCUUUCUGCUAGACCAGGUGAGAAUGACGUACGGCCGCUACUAUUGUAUUGAUAACGUUACGUUAGCUUCCAGACGUAAAUUUUUGCUGGUGAUUCGACGUGUUGAUGCGAUAAGUAAUGAAAACAUUCUCCACCCUAUAAUUUUACAGAAAUAAAAACAAACGUUAAGGAUAAUUGGGUGCGUGUUUAUCUGUGGUUAUGGUAAACAGAUACGAAAUGUCGGCUCAAGGUGGAAACCACAGCAAUUCAUAGCCAAUAGCCAAAAGCAUUUAAGGGAAAAUCUCUCUGGAUAUAAUUUGACUGCAAAUAUUUUUCCCGUUCCGUCGAGUAGGUAGACUUCCAAGCGAAGAAGGGACGUUAAAUAAAGUGUGAUUUAUAUACACGUCUGUUAUCGGUUGAAACCCGCCCGUAGUGACGAUACGCGUAACGCAAAUAUCCCCAUUCGCGCCAUGAGAUGAGACGUAGUUUAGUAGAGAAUUCCAACGAAAAGUAAACUAGAUAACUAGCGAAGAGAGGCUCCCAGGACGUAUUUCUCUUCAAAUAUUAAACCUGGAUUCCAAUCUACAGACGAGAUUUUUGUUUUCUCAUUCUUGGAUGAAUUGCAUUCGACUCUCGUCAAAAAUUUCCGGAAUUUGACAGAAAUGUCCAAGUAAAAAUUUUCUGUAUGAUUAAUCUAAUGGUGAUCUAUCGGCGUUAUAUCAUUCUGUUUUUAAGUAUUUAUUGUCCUAGAAUUAACACAGAAAAUGCGUGCAAAAUAUCCAAUUUGAGAAAUUACAUCUGGCAACAGAAAACUGUUUUUAGCUUGCUUUCCGAAGGAAAAAAACGUAAGAUUGCAUACAUUGCAAAGCCCAGAAGAAAUGGUAUCGAUCGG
Molecule: long non-coding RNA, 2100 nt
Filed under: Androctonus crassicauda
Lineage: Eukaryota; Metazoa; Arthropoda; Arachnida; Scorpiones; Buthidae
Source: RNAcentral